GGGUUUUAUCAACAGAAAAGGCGAAGAAAGCGACGCUUUUGUCUGUAGGCAUGACCCCCUCGUGGUGAGAUUUUUCAAAGAUAAGGGAAGAGAGAGAGGGGACCCACGUUUUUUAUGAAGCAAUAAAGUUGGUAUGUCUCUUCCACUCUCGCUUUGAUUUCAUGCUUGUCCUCAUUUUCACUCCCCCUCCAUUCAUCUCUGCCAUUGCUUUUGCAUAUCAUUGCCUCAUCUUGCG
This 235-nucleotide long non-coding RNA is filed under the name Vitis vinifera (wine grape). RNAcentral's name for it is "long non-coding RNA (VVIN_LNC007514)". The record is from RNAcentral. Lineage: Eukaryota; Viridiplantae; Streptophyta; Magnoliopsida; Vitales; Vitaceae.